RNAcentral lists this long non-coding RNA (1144 nucleotides) under Orbicella faveolata. Its description in RNAcentral is "uncharacterized LOC110044069, transcript variant X2". Lineage: Eukaryota; Metazoa; Cnidaria; Anthozoa; Scleractinia; Merulinidae. The record is from RNAcentral.
GGAAGGAUUAUGUAGCGUGUGUCAACAAAAUAAUCAUGUAAGGUUAUGCAGAGAAGGUUCCUCAAGACACCCCUGAAGACAGAUCCCAGUAAUGCACAUGGACCAUCCCCAUCAUGGCAUGUACCAUCCUGAAAAACCCAAGGAGAUCAUUGUUCCAAGCUGCAGGGCAGCUACUACUCCAAGAGCCUUGUGGAAUAUUGAAAGGCUGUAUGCCCUUUUGGAGCUAUCUCUUCCCCAAGCUGCUCCAACUACGCCCAGCAAAGGACAGCAAAUGAUAACGGAAAAUAUGUGGGAGUGCUGUUGCAAGUACAAUGCGCUCCACAGAUGACUACCUCUGUUCUGUCAGUGCAGAAACCAUAGCCAAGGAACAAAUCAAAGGAAUUCCUCUGCCGUCAAGCAUGCACUAAAGGUGGAUUUAAUCUUACAACGUUCAUCUGCAAGCAACAGAAUGCCCUUCAGUCCAUUGCUGAAGAACAACAGUUCAAAGAUGUUAAAAGGUCGGAUCUAAACUACAUUUCUCAUUAGGUACAGAACAGAGAUGCAAAGGAAAAGAGCUAUGUGCUGAGACUCAAGAGGAGAAAGAAUCAAAUUGAGACCUUGGAUCCCAUAGCAGGACACGGAAAAAAAACAAAUACUAUGCUGAGACUCAAGAGGGAAAAGAAUCAAAUUGAGACACUAGAUUCCUUAUUAGGCUGCUAUCUCAAGUGUACAUGCAGCGACAUUAACAAGGAGAAAGAAGCAAAGGAAAGCAAAGAACUUCGUUUAGAGGUUUCUUCAGUGGAUCACGUUUUAAAAGUACACUGUAAGGUAGAUUUACAAGACAAAGUUUAUCUCGACUAAGUUUCUUUCGAAAGAUUGUUAGGGUGGAGCUCGUAUCAGUGAUUUCUCAACACAAACACAAAACUCAAGAGUCAAAAGAAGACAUUGGAAAUACUGGCAAAUUGGCUCGUUUCUUGCUAGUUUUCGAAGAAGCCGUGAAUUGUAUUUUAAGUUUGUAGCUUUAAAACUAAGGUAGAACUUUGGCAUUACCUGAAUUUGUUUUUGCAACCCGAAUUUCAGACUGGAAGUCUCGUUAUUAAACCCGUUCAAAGUACUUUCUAAUUGUCUCGUGUCUAUUUCACUGGCCUCUUCCAGGCGUUCAGUU